Molecule: ribosomal RNA, 459 nt
Filed under: uncultured bacterium
Lineage: Bacteria
Description: partial 16S ribosomal RNA
Rfam family: Bacterial small subunit ribosomal RNA
Source: RNAcentral
CCUACGGGUGGCAGCAGUGAGGAAUAUUGGUCAAUGGGCGCGAGCCUGAACCAGCCAAGUCGCGUGAGGGAAGACGGUCCUAUGGAUUGUAAACCUCUUUUGUCGGGGAGCAAAAGACGCCACGCGUGGCGUUCCGAGAGUACCCGAAGAAAAAGCAUCGGCUAACUCCGUGCCAGCAGCCGCGGUAAUACGGAGGAUGCGAGCGUUAUCCGGAUUUAUUGGGUUUAAAGGGUGCGCAGGCGGGGGAUCAAGUCAGCGGUAAAAUUGAGAGGCUCAACCUCUUCGAGCCGUUGAAACUGGUGUUCUUGAGUGAGUGAGAAGUAUGCGGAAUGCGUGGUGUAGCGGUGAAAUGCAUAGAUAUCACGCAGAACUCCGAUUGCGAAGGCAGCAUACCGGCGCUCAACUGACGCUCAUGCACGAAAGUGUGGGUAUCGAACAGGAUUAGAUACCCUAGUAGUC